RNAcentral lists this long non-coding RNA (283 nucleotides) under Elaeis guineensis (African oil palm). Its description in RNAcentral is "long non-coding RNA (EGUI_LNC051577)". Lineage: Eukaryota; Viridiplantae; Streptophyta; Magnoliopsida; Arecales; Arecaceae. The record is from RNAcentral.
GUCGCUGAUGCAGUUCGUCGCUUUCCUUUUUAACCCCCCUCCCCUUUUUCUUUUUCUUUUCUCGAGUGAGGGUUUUCCCUCUGCUCUUGGUGGGGUCGCGGGAGCGCAGAGGGGCCGCUGAGGAGGUUUCCUUUUUCUUAUUUGGUCUUGAAUUACCAGACCUUAAUUGGUGUCAGGAUGAGAUCCUUCCCCUAUUUCUGAUAUGUUCGAUUUCAGCUCAGAUUAGGACAUGGCUCUUCCCCUGUUCCUAACAGGGCUGUGGGGGCACAUAUGGACGUUGCAG